AUUACUUCUCUUUAUCACAUAAAUCCCCAAUUUCACAAACCCUAAACCUAACUUCUAAAACCAGCCACAUCAUCCCCUUUACCUCUGGUUUUUCUCUCAUACACAAGAGAGAAGCCACCAUCACCAAAUCUUUAAGAUUGCUAACAGGCCUGCCCCUUCAGAUCUUUUUUUCUUUCAAAACUUAAAAAAACAAAAAGAAGUAUUCACACACACCUACAGAGAUAAACACACACACCCACAGAGAUACACGGGAGAGAGACGAGAGGAACGAGGGAAAGCAGGGGCUGGGGAAAUGCACAGAAACAGAGACGAGAGACGAGGAACGAGAGCUAAGCACCUCACCUGUCGUCAUCUUCUUCACAUCACAGAGCCUUGAACCAAAUUCUCUAUAGCCACCAACCGUAAAGCUCAGUGCCCUUGCUCCACUGCUCAAAACCUCCAUCGAAACAAUGUGAAAUAGCUCGAGACAACUCCGAAUCACGAGUCACUGUUAUGGAGUCCGUUGGUUUUGUCUUUCUGGUUUAGUUCGAGUUUUCCGGCGUGCUUCAAGGUCAUCGAAGGUCAUUGUCCAAGGAGUCCGUUGCAUUCAUACAUCGAGGUAUGGAUCCACUUACCAGAGCUUGAGCAUGACAGAAGCCCCAGGACCAUCUUAGUUAGAGCCGUUGCUUUUAGGAGCUGUUUGAGGAGACUUUUUCUUUUUUGAGUAUGUUUUAUGUUGUCUUUUACUUUCUAGUAUUGUACAAUAAUAUCGAGUCUUUUAGGUGGUGUCGGUUUUUGUCGUAAUCUAGUCGAGUUUGUCGAAUCUUUUGUUAUCAUACUUCCUAUUAUGUAUUUGAAAAUCGAAAAAGUUAAAAAUGAAAAAUCUAAAAUAAUUUUGUUUUUAGUUUA
This is a long non-coding RNA of Nicotiana tabacum (common tobacco), 888 nucleotides long. RefSeq lists it as uncharacterized. Lineage: Eukaryota; Viridiplantae; Streptophyta; Magnoliopsida; Solanales; Solanaceae. The record is from RefSeq and is a predicted model, not a curated record.